This 442-nucleotide ribosomal RNA is filed under the name uncultured bacterium. RNAcentral's name for it is "partial 16S ribosomal RNA". It matches the Rfam family "Bacterial small subunit ribosomal RNA", at positions 338 to 795 of the family's 1533-position model. The record is from RNAcentral.
CCUACGGGUGGCAGCAGUGGGGAAUAUUGGGCAAUGGGCGCAAGCCUGACCCAGCAACGCCGCGUGAAGGAUGAAGGCUUUCGGGUUGUAAACUUCUUUUGGCAGGGAAGAAUAGAAGAUGGUACCUGACGAAUAAGCUACGGCUAACUACGUGCCAGCAGACGCGGUAACACGGAGGUGGCAAGCGUUGUACGGAUGUACUGGGGGUAAAGGGCGGGUAGCCGGGUUGACAAGUCAGAUGUGAAAUCCUGCGGCUUAACCGCAGAACUGCAUUUGAAACUGUUGAUGUUGAGUACUGGAGAGGCAGCUGGAAUUCCUGGUGUAGCGGUGAAAUGCGUAGAUAUUAGGAGGAACACCAGUGGCGAAGGCGGUCUGCUGGACAGCAACUGACGGUGAGGCGCGAAAGCGUGGGGAGCAAACAGGAUUAGAUACCCUUGUAGUC